This 389-nucleotide ribosomal RNA is filed under the name uncultured bacterium. RNAcentral describes it as "bacterial SSU rRNA". It matches the Rfam family "Bacterial small subunit ribosomal RNA", at positions 28 to 417 of the family's 1533-position model. The record is from RNAcentral.
GACGAACGCUGGCGGCGUGCUUAACACAUGCAAGUCGAGCGAGACCCCUCCUUCGGGAGGGUGUUCUAGCGGCGAACGGGUGAGUAACACGUGGGCAACCUGCCCUCAGCUCUGGGAUAACUCCAAGAAAUUGGGGCUAAUACCGGAUAUGACCGCUGACCGCAUGGUCUGGUGGUGGAAAGAUUUAUCGGCUGGGGAUGGGCCCGCGGCCUAUCAGCUUGUUGGUGGGGUAGUGGCCACCAAGGCGACGACGGGUAGCCGGCCUGAGAGGGUGACCGGCCACACUGGGACUGAGACACGGCCCAGACUCCUACGGGAGGCAGCAGUGGGGAAUAUUGCGCAAUGGGCGGAAGCCUGACGCAGCGACGCCGCGUGAGGGAUGACGGCCU